RNAcentral lists this ribosomal RNA (429 nucleotides) under Pseudomonadota bacterium. RNAcentral's name for it is "Proteobacteria bacterium partial 16S ribosomal RNA". It matches the Rfam family "Bacterial small subunit ribosomal RNA", at positions 355 to 776 of the family's 1533-position model. The record is from RNAcentral. Lineage: Bacteria; Pseudomonadati; Pseudomonadota.
UGGGGAAUAUUGGACAAUGGGCGAAAGCCUGAUCCAGCCAUGCCGCGUGUGUGAAGAAGGGCUUCGGAGUGUAAAGCACUUUAAGUUGGGAGGAAGGGCAGUAAGCGAAUACCUUGCUGUUUUGACGUUACCGACAGAAUAAGCACCGGCUAACUCUGUGCCAGCAGCCGCGGUAAUACAGAGGGUGCAAGCGUUAAUCGGAAUUACUGGGCGUAAAGCGCGCGUAGGUGGUUCGUUAAGUUGAAUGUGAAAGCCCCGGGCUCAACCUGGGAACUGCAUCCAAAACUGGCGAGCUAGAGUAGGGCAGAGGGUGGUGGAAUUUCCUGUGUAGCGGUGAAAUGCGUAGAUAUAGGAAGGAACACCAGUGGCGAAGGCGACCACCUGGGCUCAUACUGACACUGAGGUGCGAAAGCGUGGGGAGCAAACAGG